RNAcentral lists this small nuclear RNA (325 nucleotides) under Castor canadensis (American beaver). RNAcentral describes it as "7SK RNA (ENSCCNG00000028572.1)". It matches the Rfam family "7SK RNA". From Rfam's summary of the family: 7SK was discovered as an abundant small nuclear RNA in the mid-70s but a possible function has only recently been suggested. Two independent studies have found that 7SK RNA binds the CDK9/cyclin T complex (known as elongation factor P-TEFb). Lineage: Eukaryota; Metazoa; Chordata; Mammalia; Rodentia; Castoridae. The record is from RNAcentral.
GAAUAUGAGGGUGAUCUGGCUGUGACAUCUGUUAUCCCAUUGGUCACCAGGGUUGAUUCAGCUGAUCUGGCUGGCUAGGUGGAUGUCCCCUUCCUCCCUCACUGCUCCAUGUGCAUCCCUCCCAAAGCUGCAUGCUAGGUUGAAGAGGACGACCAUCCCCAAUAGAGGAGGACCGUUCUUUGGUCAAGGGUAUAUGAGUAGCUGCGAUCCCUUGCUAGAACCUCCAAACAACCUCUCAAAUGUUUAUAAUUGAAGUGUUCACCAUAGCCAGGUUAAAGUACCACUCUAGGUGUCCAUCAACAACAGAAUUAAAAACAAUUGUUUU